GACGAACGCUGGCGGCGUGCUUAACACAUGCAAGUCGAACGGAAAGGCCCUGCUUUUGUGGGGUGCUCGAGUGGCGAACGGGUGAGUAACACGUGAGUAACCCGCCCUUGACUUUGGGAUAACUUCAGGAAACUGGGGCUAAUACCGGAUAGGAGCUCUUGCUGCAUGGUGGGGGUUGGAAAAUUUCGGCUGUUGGGGAUGGACUCGCGGCUUAUCAGCUUGUUGGGGGGGUAGUGGCUUACCAAGGUUUCGACGGGUAGCCGGCCUGAGAGGGUGAACGGCGACCAUGCGCCUAAGAGAGGGCGCAGACGGCAACGGGAGGCAGCAGUGGAAAGUAUUACGCAGUGAGCGGGAGCGUGAUACGACGGCGCCGCGUGCGGAAUGCCGGCCUACGGGUUGAGAACCGCUUUGGCAUGAACCGAAGAGUGAGUGACGGUAAUGAAUAAGAAAGCACCGGCUAACUACGUG
This 468-nucleotide ribosomal RNA is filed under the name uncultured bacterium. RNAcentral's name for it is "partial 16S ribosomal RNA". It matches the Rfam family "Bacterial small subunit ribosomal RNA", at positions 28 to 507 of the family's 1533-position model. The record is from RNAcentral.